Molecule: ribosomal RNA, 327 nt
Filed under: uncultured Bacteroidota bacterium
Lineage: Bacteria; Pseudomonadati; Bacteroidota
Description: bacterial SSU rRNA
Rfam family: Bacterial small subunit ribosomal RNA
Source: RNAcentral
GAUGAACGCUAGCGGGAGGCUUAACACAUGCAAGUCGAGGGGCAUCACGAGGUAGCAAUACUUUGGUGGCGACCGGCGCACGGGUGAGUAACACGUAUGCAACCUACCCUGUACAGGGGGAUAGCCCGGAGAAAUUCGGAUUAAUACCCCAUAAAGAUAUUGAGAGGCAUCUUUUAAUAUUUAAAGUUUCGGCGGUACGGGAUGGGCAUGCGCAACAUUAGCUAGUUGGUAGGGUAACGGCCUACCAAGGCUACGAUGUUUAGGGGACCUGAGAGGGUGAUCCCCCACACUGGUACUGAGACACGGACCAGACUCCUACGGGAGCAG